GAUAAACGCUGGCGGCGUGCAUUAGACAUGCAAGUCGAACGGACUUCUCGGGGCUUGCUCUGAGAAGUUAGUGGCGGACGGCUGAGUAACGCGUAGGUGACCUACCCCGAAGUGGGGAAGUAACUGCCCGAAAGGGUGGCUAAUACCGCAUGUGAUCGUAUGUUCAUUCGUACGAUCAAAGCCGUAAGGCGCUUCGGGAGGGGCCUGCGUCCGAUUAGCUCGUUGGUGGGGUAAUGGCUCACCAAGGCGACGAUCGGUAGGUGGUCUGAGAGGACGAUCACCCAGACUGGGACUGAGACACGGCCCAGACUCCUACGGGAGGCAGCAGUCGGGAAUUUUGCUCAAUGGGCGCAAGCCUGAAGCAGCAACGCCGCGUGA
RNAcentral lists this ribosomal RNA (378 nucleotides) under uncultured bacterium. RNAcentral describes it as "bacterial SSU rRNA". It matches the Rfam family "Bacterial small subunit ribosomal RNA", at positions 28 to 404 of the family's 1533-position model. The record is from RNAcentral.